This 265-nucleotide ribosomal RNA is filed under the name uncultured bacterium. RNAcentral describes it as "partial 16S ribosomal RNA". It matches the Rfam family "Bacterial small subunit ribosomal RNA", at positions 1227 to 1500 of the family's 1533-position model. The record is from RNAcentral.
ACAAUGGCAGGUACAGAGGGGUGCUACCGGGUGACCGGAUGCCGAUCUCGAAAACCUGUCCCAGUUCGGACUGGAGUCUGCAACCCGACUCCACGAAGUUGGAUUCGCUAGUAAUCGCGCAUCAGCCAUGGCGCGGUGAAUACGUUCCCGGGCCUUGUACACACCGCCCGUCAAGCCAUGGGAGCCGGGGGCGCCUGAAGUCCGGGACCGCGAGGACCGGCCUAGGGCGAAACUGGUGACUGGGGCUAAGUCGUAACAAGGUAAC